AGUGUCAGCAGGCGUCCUGGGGUGCCGACAGGCCACGCCUGCUCCAGCACUGUGUUUGCACGUGGCAAGGCUGCAAGUCCAGAGCAGCCGCACGCCACACUCACCUCCUGUUCUCCUUUCUGGGCUGCACACUCAUGUUCAAGGCAAUGUCUGGCUGACAACUCCUGUGGCUUUGCUCUUACCAUUGACCUCUCCAGUCCACAGUCUGGGGUCAAGGUCACCAUAUCCACCACUGUGAAAGGAACUGGCUCCCAGAUGGGACACCUCCCUUAGGAAGCUUCUGUCUCCCCUGGAAGCUCCUUCCAGAGAUGAGGAAACAGGCUGCCAGGUGUCCCUGAAACUGCCCAAUGACGGUGACGGUCUCACUCUGAGCUCUGGGGACACUUCUGCAGCCCCAACACGUCUCCACCACGAUGCCCCACUCCCGCUCUUCUGCACCAAGAGGCUUCGUCCUUGCGUUGGGAAGAGCUCUGAGCGCCGGGCAGUUGGCUAUCUUCUGAAACCCGUAGGACCACGUUUUGUUUCUGAGGCCAAUGUGUGGAAGUUGUCAAAAUAUCUUCAAGAAUAAUUUUAUUUCUUGCAAAUAUUGAAAAUGAUUCUCCUGAUUUGAACAUCAGUUUUGGCCUUGUGCUUUAAGAGCAUAAUUCUCAGGACUCCACUUGGCCAACAACCAUAGGACCCCAGAGUCCUGCAGGAGGAAGACACCCCCUGCUUUGUGGUCCCCUUUUCUAGGUCACAUGACAUUUCUCACUGGUCAUUUAGCAAGUUGGAAAUUCCAGCUGUGGAUCAGGAUGCACCUUACUGACUAGUCCUUAGUAGCAGUCAGGAUUCUUCUUUUUUUAAUUCUACAAACUGUUUUGUUUACUACCUCUACUUCUAACAUAAUUCGUGCACUUCUAAAUAUCAGGUGUUCCAAAUAGGACUCCAGUUUGUCCACUGUGUACCUAGUAGUGCUGGAUCAACUACAUACAUGUAACCGUGGUUAUAUCUGAAAGGAACAUUCU
RNAcentral lists this long non-coding RNA (1004 nucleotides) under Ictidomys tridecemlineatus (thirteen-lined ground squirrel). RNAcentral's name for it is "lncRNA (ENSSTOG00000030328.1)". The record is from RNAcentral. Lineage: Eukaryota; Metazoa; Chordata; Mammalia; Rodentia; Sciuridae.